UACGGAGGGUGCGAGCGUUGUCCGGAAUCAUUGGGCGUAAAGGGCGCGUAGGUGGCCCCUCAAGCGUGCGGUGAAAGUCAGGGGCUCAACCCCUGAUCGGCCGUGCGAACUGGGGAGCUUGAGCACUGUAGAGGCAGGCGGAAUUCCGGGUGUAGCGGUGGAAUGCGUAGAGAUCCGGAAGAACACCGGUGGCGAAGGCGGCCUGCUGGGCAGUUUG
This 217-nucleotide ribosomal RNA is filed under the name uncultured bacterium. RNAcentral describes it as "partial 16S ribosomal RNA". It matches the Rfam family "Bacterial small subunit ribosomal RNA", at positions 524 to 739 of the family's 1533-position model. The record is from RNAcentral.